This 994-nucleotide unclassified non-coding RNA is filed under the name Hevea brasiliensis (rubber tree). Lineage: Eukaryota; Viridiplantae; Streptophyta; Magnoliopsida; Malpighiales; Euphorbiaceae. The record is from RNAcentral.
CGCCAAUUUACCACAAUUCAUGUUAUCAUACAAAGUCGUUGGACGUUGCAACUGAACAAAUAUAAAUGACCAUACAACUUCCUCCAUUUUUUGCAGCUAUGUUCAAUAAUACACAGCCAGUUCUAAUAAUAUGAUACAAACACAAGGACUAAGUGAAUCGUUGCACUAAAAAUUUUGUGGCCUUCCAAACCAGCAGAGUUGGACAUAACAAGGUUUUAUUUUCAUAAAGAAUACAAACAUAAAUGAUUACUCAAUAAUAAUAAUAAUAACAACAACAACAAUCUCUUCUUCUACCGAAAAAAUGUCAAUCUGAGAUUUCUCUAGAAAUGCAUGUCAUCCCAAAAGAGUCGCUCCUUGGUCCAAGCGCAAGUUGUUUCUGCAUGUUCCCAGUCGAAUACCCACACAAACUUAACAAAAAAAUAAAUAAAACAAAUAAAAUACCCAAAAUUUCCUUCAUUUUUCUUAUCAACCAAACGCCAAACCCAAAAGAGACGAGAAGAAAGGAAAAGAAAAGAAAACCACAUGUGUCAAGCCCAAUUAAUGAAUUCGAAGACCAUUUAGAAAAACAAAUCAAUCAACCAUCUGAAGAAUGCAAGCAGCCAGACAGUUAAAGUAAAUUAAUUAAAGAAACUACAUGGCUCAUCAUGUGAUAUUAGAUUAAUAAAAUUAACAAUACAAGUUUAGCUUAUCUAGAAAAAGGGGAUGAAGCAGAAUCAACAAGGGCAAUUACUCAUUAAAAGGAACAAAGAAAAAAAGAAGACAUGCAAAUCCUGCAAUGGAUUAUGAUCAAAACAUUAUUCCGAGCCAAAUAUACAAGUUUGUAGCUUCAAAAAACAUCUGAUAUUGCCUCAAGAAGAGGAGAAAGGAAAAAGGAAGAAGAGAAGAAAGGAAAAGGGAGAGAGAGGGAGGAAGAGAAAGCUAGGAAGAGAUAAGAACAGAGUAACGAGAGGAAGAAAAAAAAAUAUAUUUGAGUUUGUGUUGAUAAGUUCUAGUU